UUGAAGAGUUUGAUCAUGGCUCAGAUUGAACGCUGGCGGCAGGCCUAACACAUGCAAGUCGAACGGUAACAGGAAGCAGCUUGCUGCUUUGCUGACGAGUGGCGGACGGGUGAGUAAUGUCUGGGAAACUGCCUGAUGGAGGGGGAUAACUACUGGAAACGGUAGCUAAUACCGCAUAACGUCGCAAGACCAAAGAGGGGGACCUUCGGGCCUCUUGCCAUCGGAUGUGCCCAGAUGGGAUUAGCUUGUUGGUGGGGUAACGGCUCACCAAGGCGACGAUCCCUAGCUGGUCUGAGAGGAUGACCAGCCACACUGGAACUGAGACACGGUCCAGACUCCUACGGGAGGCAGCAGUGGGGAAUAUUGCACAAUGGGCGCAAGCCUGAUGCAGCCAUGCCGCGUGUAUGAAGAAGGCCUUCGGGUUGUAAAGUACUUUCAGCGGGGAGGAAGGGAGUAAAGUUAAUACCUUUACUCAUUGACGUUACCCGCAGAAGAAGCACCGGCUAACUCCGUGCCAGCAGCCGCGGUAAUACGGAGGGUGCAAGCGUUAAUCGGAAUUACUGGGCGUAAAGCGCACGCAGGCGGUUUGUUAAGUCAGAUGUGAAAUCCCCGGGCUCAACCUGGGAACUGCAUCUGAUACUGGCAAGCUUGAGUCUCGUAGAGGGGGGUAGAAUUCCAGGUGUAGCGGUGAAAUGCGUAGAGAUCUGGAGGAAUACCGGUGGCGAAGGCGGCCCCCUGGACGAAGACUGACGCUCAGGUGCGAAAGCGUGGGGAGCAAACAGGAUUAGAUACCCUGGUAGUCCACGCCGUAAACGAUGUCGACUUGGAGGUUGUGCCCUUGAGGCGUGGCUUCCGGAGCUAACGCGUUAAGUCGACCGCCUGGGGAGUACGGCCGCAAGGUUAAAACUCAAAUGAAUUGACGGGGCCCGCACAAGCGGUGGAGCAUGUGGUUUAAUUCGAUGCAACGCGAAGAACCUUACCUGGUCUUGACAUCCACGGAAGUUUUCAGAGAUGAGAAUGUGCCUUCGGGAACCGUGAGACAGGUGCUGCAUGGCUGUCGUCAGCUCGUGUUGUGAAAUGUUGGGUUAAGUCCCGCAACGAGCGCAACCCUUAUCCUUUGUUGCCAGCGGUCCGGCCGGGAACUCAAAGGAGACUGCCAGUGAUAAACUGGAGGAAGGUGGGGAUGACGUCAAGUCAUCAUGGCCCUUACGACCAGGGCUACACACGUGCUACAAUGGCGCAUACAAAGAGAAGCGACCUCGCGAGAGCAAGCGGACCUCAUAAAGUGCGUCGUAGUCCGGAUUGGAGUCUGCAACUCGACUCCAUGAAGUCGGAAUCGCUAGUAAUCGUGGAUCAGAAUGCCACGGUGAAUACGUUCCCGGGCCUUGUACACACCGCCCGUCACACCAUGGGAGUGGGUUGCAAAAGAAGUAGGUAGCUUAACCUUCGGGAGGGCGCUUACCACUUUGUGAUUCAUGACUGGGGUGAAGUCGUAACAAGGUAACCGUAGGGGAACCUGCGGUUGGAUCACCUCCUU
This 1537-nucleotide ribosomal RNA is filed under the name Escherichia coli. RNAcentral's name for it is "bacterial SSU rRNA". It matches the Rfam family "Bacterial small subunit ribosomal RNA". The record is from RNAcentral. Lineage: Bacteria; Pseudomonadati; Pseudomonadota; Gammaproteobacteria; Enterobacterales; Enterobacteriaceae.